RNAcentral lists this ribosomal RNA (468 nucleotides) under uncultured bacterium. Its description in RNAcentral is "partial 16S ribosomal RNA". It matches the Rfam family "Bacterial small subunit ribosomal RNA", at positions 28 to 507 of the family's 1533-position model. The record is from RNAcentral.
GACGAACGCUGGCGGCGUGCUUAACACAUGCAAGUCGAACGGAAAGGCCCUGCUUUUGUGGGGUGCUCGAGUGGCGAACGGGUGAGUAACACGUGAGUAACCUGCCCUUGACUUUGGGAUAACUUCAGGAAACUGGGGCUAAUACCGGAUAGGAGCUCCUGCUGCAUGGUGGGGGUUGGAAAGUUUCGGCGGUUGGGGAUGGACUCGCGGCUUAUCAGCUUGUUGGUGGGGUAGUGGCUUACCAAGGUUUUGACGGGUAGCCGGCCUGAGAGGGUGACCGGCCACAUUGGGACUGAGAUACGGCCCAGACUCCUACGGGAGGCAGCAGUGGGGAAUAUUGCACAAUGGGCGAAAGCCUGAUGCAGCAACGCCGCGUGCGGGAUGACGGCCUUCGGGUUGUAAACCGCUUUCGCCUGUGACGAAGCGUGAGUGACGGUAAUGGGUAAAGAAGCACCGGCUAACUACGUG